GUAUAUUUAUAGUGCUCAGCACAAGAUUAUUUCAUUACAUUCGUGCGUGUAAAAAUCCUCUACCAGCCGAAGCUAGCAAAGGCCAAUGGUUCACAAGAGGGUAUUAGAUUUAUAUUAUGUCCCCGUCGUGCACUUGCAAGAGCCAGCACUGAAGGUAGACAAUUAAUAUCAAUAAUGAUCCUUCCGCAGGUUCACCUACGGAAA
This 204-nucleotide unclassified non-coding RNA is filed under the name uncultured fungus. RNAcentral describes it as "sequence contains ITS1". The record is from RNAcentral. Lineage: Eukaryota; Fungi.